This 1269-nucleotide long non-coding RNA is filed under the name Theobroma cacao (cacao). RNAcentral describes it as "long non-coding RNA (TCAC_LNC005028)". The record is from RNAcentral. Lineage: Eukaryota; Viridiplantae; Streptophyta; Magnoliopsida; Malvales; Malvaceae.
AAUUACACUGGUAAAAGUACAGAGAUUAUGCUUGAAGACUGGGAUUAGGAGUACAUCGACUCCUAGAACUGUGAGUGGACAACUUAUCGUCUUAAAUAUAUAGAGUUAUUAUACUUGUUUGAUGCUUUUAUUGAAUGGUGAGCUUAAAUUAUAAAAUAUUAUGUUUUCUAAUUAAAAUAUUUUUUUUAAUAAAAAUGAUAUUUAUAUUGAUUUUGAAAUCAAAUAUUGUUUUGGAAAAAUUGAGUAUAUGGAGACUGUGUUGAAAUUUAUGAUUUUAUAUGUUAUUGAAAUUGGGGCUUAUGACACUAUGGUAGCAUGAUGGCUAAAUGUUUUGGGUUGGCAUUAAAUAUAUGAACAGUUUUGGAUUGGUCUCGGUAGACUGGAUUAAAUUUUAUUCGCCAUAUUAUGCUACUGAAAAUUUUAUGGGUCUGGUGGUAUAUUAAACGGUCACUGCAGUGGUGGGGGUUUCCGUGGACUGCUUAUGAGAGGGGCACGGUAACCCAAUUAUAUAUUUACCUCCGGGGGGAGAUGUUGGAUGAAGUAUCUCCUGAGGUAAGAUUUGAAUGCACCUCACGGUCAUUGCAGUGGUGGGGGUUUCCAUGGGCUGCCUAUGAGAGGAGCACGGUAACUCAAUUAUAUAUUUACCUCAGGGGGGAGAUGUUGGGUGAAGUAUCUUCUAAGGUAUGAUUUGAGUACACCUCACGUUCGGGCCACCACGUGAGAGUAAGACUCAGCUAACGCCAAGGAACGGUUGUGUGUUAGAUGUGAAAACAUAUUUAUGGGUAUGGGUCAUUGAACAGCCUUGGCGGUCUCAGUGGGAUACCUUGACGAAGGUACCCAUGAGAAUGAUUCUGGCAGGGGCCAAGUUUAAGAAAUUCAUAAGCCGGGAAACUUAGAUGAAAAAAAAUUAUUUGGUAUAGAUUGAAACGAAUUUUGUGUUAUGAACAUUAUUGAGAUAUAACGUUUUUAUAUUGUCUCCAUAUACUCGGCUUUAAAUGCUUUUGAUGGUAAUUGUUUACUCACUAAGAUUAUGUAAUCAUAAUCUCACUCCUUUUCCUAUCCGUUUUUCAGGCUCAGGACAGUUUGUUGAUAGUUGAUUAAGACGAGAAUUAAUCUCGGAGUUGCAUCAUAGGAAGUAAAGGUUCGUAGCUCUACACCUUCUUGGUUAGUUGGAGGCCCACGUGUCACUGUAAACAAAAUUUCAUACUUUAAUUAUCUUUAUUACUAUAUGAAUAAAUUUAUUUUACUCUUACGCUACAAGAGUUAUUU